AUUGAACGCUGGCGGCAGGCUUAACACAUGCAAGUCGAGCGGUAACAGGGGGUGCUUGCACCCCGCUGACGAGCGGCGGACGGGUGAGUAAUGCUUAGGAAUCUGCCCAGUAGUGGGGGAUAGCCCGGGGAAACCCGGAUUAAUACCGCAUACGUCCUACGGGAGAAAGCAGGGGAUCUUCGGACCUUGCGCUACUGGAUGAGCCUAAGUCGGAUUAGCUAGUUGGUGGGGUAAAGGCCUACCAAGGCGACGAUCCGUAGCUGGUCUGAGAGGAUGAUCAGCCACAUCGGGACUGAGACACGGCCCGAACUCCUACGGGAGGCAGCAGUGGGGAAUAUUGGACAAUGGGGGCAACCCUGAUCCAGCCAUGCCGCGUGUGUGAAGAAGGCUUUCGGGUUGUAAAGCACUUUCAGCGAGGAGGAAGGCUCUGAAGUUAAUACCUUCAGGGAUUGACGUUACUCGCAGAAGAAGCACCGGCUAACUCCGUGCCAGCAGCCGCGGUAAUACGGAGGGUGCAAGCGUUAAUCGGAAUUACUGGGCGUAAAGCGCGCGUAGGUGGUUAGGUAAGCGAGAUGUGAAAGCCCCGGGCUUAACCUGGGAACGGCAUUUCGAACUGUCUGACUAGAGUGUGGUAGAGGGUAGUGGAAUUUCCUGUGUAGCGGUGAAAUGCGUAGAUAUAGGAAGGAACACCAGUGGCGAAGGCGGCUACCUGGACCAACACUGACACUGAGGUGCGAAAGCGUGGGGAGCAAACA
This 755-nucleotide ribosomal RNA is filed under the name uncultured Marinobacter sp. Its description in RNAcentral is "bacterial SSU rRNA". It matches the Rfam family "Bacterial small subunit ribosomal RNA", at positions 28 to 774 of the family's 1533-position model. Lineage: Bacteria; Pseudomonadati; Pseudomonadota; Gammaproteobacteria; Pseudomonadales; Marinobacteraceae. The record is from RNAcentral.